CCCGACUGCCACAUCCGCCUCGCAGU
RNAcentral lists this unclassified non-coding RNA (26 nucleotides) under Mus musculus (house mouse). RNAcentral describes it as "oocyte_clustered_small_RNA11440". The record is from RNAcentral. Lineage: Eukaryota; Metazoa; Chordata; Mammalia; Rodentia; Muridae.